This 1113-nucleotide long non-coding RNA is filed under the name Cyanistes caeruleus (blue tit). RNAcentral describes it as "lncRNA (ENSCCEG00000002247.1)". Lineage: Eukaryota; Metazoa; Chordata; Aves; Passeriformes; Paridae. The record is from RNAcentral.
CCCACAUCCCGGAUUUUUCCCCCUCCCGAUCCCGUUUUUCCCGUUGGGAUCCCGUUUUUCCCGGCAGGCACUGUAACAUGGUGCUGGAGAACGUCAAGGAGAUGUGGACCGAGGUGCCCAAGAGCGGCAAAGGGAAGAAGAAAUCCAAACCCGUCAACAAGGACCGGUACAUCUCCAAGAUGUUCCUGCGCGGAGACUCCGUCAUCGUGGUGCUCCGUAACCCCCUGAUCGCGGGGAAAUAACGGGGAAUUCCCAGCUGGAAACAUCCUGGAACAUCCCAGAACCUUCUGGAACAUCCCAGAGCAUCCCAGAGCAUCCCAGAGCAUCCCAGACUCCGUCAUCGUGGUGCUGCGCAACCCCCUGAUCGCGGGGAAAUAACGGGGAAUUCCCGAUUGGAAACGUCCCAGAACCUUCUGGAACAUCCCAGAACCUCCCGGAACAUCCCAGAACAUUCUGGAACAUCCCAGAGCAUCCCAGAGCAUCCCAGGCUCCGUCAUCGUGGUGCUCCAUAACCCCCUGAUCGCGGGGAAAUAACGGGGAAUUCCCAGCUGGAAUCAUCCCAGAACCUUCCAGAACCUUCCAGAGCAUCCCAGAGCAUCCCAGGCUCCAUCAUCAUUGGGAAUUCCCUGCUGGAAUCAGCCCUGGAACCUCCCAGAACCUUCUGGAACCUUCCAGAACCUUCCGGAACCUUCCAGAACCUUCUGGAACCUCCCCAGAGCGGCUCCGUCAUCGCUGGGGAGCUUGGGAUUCCUUGGGAAUCAUCCGUGGAACCUCCCAGAACCUCCCAGAACCUUCCAGAACCUCCCGGAACCUCCCAGAAGUUUCCAGAACCUUCCGGAACCUUCCAGCCCCCUCCGGCUCAUCCCACAUUUCCCCUCCCCCCUCGUUCCUGGCUGGAUUUUCGGGAAGGAGCCGAAUUUUGGGAUGGAACAGGAAUUUUGGGAUGGAGCAGGAUUUUUGGGAUGGAACAGGAAUUUUUGGGAUGGAGCUGGGAUUUUUUGGGAUGGGAUUUUUGGGCUGGGAUUUUUGGGCUGGGACAGGAAUUUUUUGGGAUGCAGCAGGAAUUUUUGGGCUGGGAUUUUUGGGCUGGAACAGGAAUUUUUUGGGAUGGAC